GUGCCAGCGCCGCGGUAAUACCGGCAGCCCGAGUGAUGGCCACUCUUAUUGGGCCUAAAGCGUCCGUAGCCGGCCUCGCAAGUCCGUCGGGAAAUCCAGUAGCUCAACUACUGGGCGUCCGGCGGAAACUACAAGGCUUGGGACCGGAAGACCCGACGGGUACGUCCAGGGUAGGAGUGAAAUCCUGUAAUCCUGGACGGACCGCCGAUGGCGAAAGCACGUCGGGAAGACGGAUCCGACGGUGAGGGACGAAAGCCAGGGUCUCCAACCGGAUUAGAUACCCGUGUAGUCC
Molecule: ribosomal RNA, 292 nt
Filed under: uncultured bacterium
Lineage: Bacteria
Description: partial 16S ribosomal RNA
Rfam family: Archaeal small subunit ribosomal RNA
Source: RNAcentral